Mycena galopus ATCC 62051 is the source of this 76-nucleotide non-coding RNA. Lineage: Eukaryota; Fungi; Basidiomycota; Agaricomycetes; Agaricales; Mycenaceae. The record is from the annotation of a GenBank genome assembly.
GGUGGAAUAGUGUAGUGGUUAAUGGUGUCAUUCGGUUAAUUUGCAGCCAACGUGGGUUCGAUUUCCGCGUCUAUCA